GGAGUCGUACACAUGCGUGUCGAGCGGAACGAGAAGUAGCUUGCUACUUCGGCGUCGAGCGGCGGACGGGUGAGUAAUGCAUAGGAAGUUGCCCAGUGGAGGGGGAUAACCAUUGGAAACGAUGGCUAAUACCGAAUAACCUCUUCGGAGCAAAGCGGGGGACCUUCGGGCCUCGCGCUACUGGAUACGCCUAUGUGGGAUUAGCUAGUUGGUGAGGUAAUGGCUCACCAAGGCGACGAUCCCUAGCUGGUCUGAGAGGAUGAUCAGCCACACUGGGACUGAGACACGGCCCAGACUCCUACGGGAGGCAGCAGUGGGGAAUAUUGCACAAUGGGCGAAAGCCUGAUGCAGCCAUGCCGCGUGUAUGAAGAAGGCCUUCGGGUUGUAAAGUACUUUCAGUUGUGAGGAAGGGUGUGUAGUUAAUAACUGCGCAUUUUGACGUUAGCAACAGAAGAAGCACCGGCUAACUCCGUGCCAGCAGCCGCGGUAAUACGGAGGGUGCGAGCGUUAAUCGGAAUUACUGGGCGUAAAGCGCAUGCAGGUGGUUUGUUAAGUCAGAUGUGAAAGCCCGGGGCUCAACCUCGGAAGGUCAUUUGAAACUGGCAAAC
This 608-nucleotide ribosomal RNA is filed under the name Vibrio rumoiensis. Its description in RNAcentral is "bacterial SSU rRNA". It matches the Rfam family "Bacterial small subunit ribosomal RNA", at positions 43 to 641 of the family's 1533-position model. Lineage: Bacteria; Pseudomonadati; Pseudomonadota; Gammaproteobacteria; Vibrionales; Vibrionaceae. The record is from RNAcentral.